GACGAACGCUGGCGGCGUGCUUAACACAUGCAAGUCGAACGGAAAGGCCCUGCUUUUGUGGGGUGCUCGAGUGGCGAACGGGUGAGUAACACGUGAGUAACCUGCCCUUGACUUUGGGAUAACUUCAGGAAACUGGGGCUAAUACCGGAUAGGAUCUCCUGCUGCAUGUUGGGGGUUGGAAAGUUUCGGCGGUUGGGGAUGGACUCGCGGCUUAUCAGCUUGUUGGUGGGGUAGUGGCUUACCAAGGCUUUGACGGGUAGCCGGCCUGAGAGGGUGACCGGCCACAUUGGGACUGAGAUACGGCCCAGACUCCUACGGGAGGCAGCAGUGGGGAAUAUUGCACAAUGGGCGGAAGCCUGAUGCAGCAACGCCGCGUGCGGGAUGACGGCCUUCGGGUUGUAAACCGCUUUCGCCUGUGACGAAGCGUGAGUGACGGUAAUGGGUAAAGAAGCACCGGCUAACUACGUG
Molecule: ribosomal RNA, 468 nt
Filed under: uncultured bacterium
Lineage: Bacteria
Description: partial 16S ribosomal RNA
Rfam family: Bacterial small subunit ribosomal RNA
Source: RNAcentral